This is a non-coding RNA of Lipotes vexillifer (Yangtze River dolphin), 72 nucleotides long. The record is from the annotation of a RefSeq genome assembly. NCBI's taxonomy places the organism in Eukaryota, Metazoa, Chordata, Mammalia, Artiodactyla, Lipotidae.
UCCCUGGUGGUCCAGCACUUAGGACUCAGCACUUUCACUGCAGAGGCCCAGGUUCGAUCCCUGGUCAGGGAA